GCCCCCAUAGCUCAGUGGAUAGAGCGUUCGCCUCCGGAGCGAAAGGUCGUGGGUUCGAUUCCCCCUGGGGGCACCA
RNAcentral lists this transfer RNA (76 nucleotides) under Coriobacteriales bacterium OH1046. RNAcentral describes it as "tRNA-Arg". It matches the Rfam family "tRNA". From Rfam's summary of the family: Transfer RNA (tRNA) molecules are approximately 80 nucleotides in length. Their secondary structure includes four short double-helical elements and three loops (D, anti-codon, and T loops). The record is from RNAcentral. Lineage: Bacteria; Bacillati; Actinomycetota; Coriobacteriia; Coriobacteriales. RNAcentral also lists the same sequence under 1 other name.